RNAcentral lists this ribosomal RNA (253 nucleotides) under uncultured bacterium. Its description in RNAcentral is "partial 16S ribosomal RNA". It matches the Rfam family "Bacterial small subunit ribosomal RNA", at positions 524 to 776 of the family's 1533-position model. The record is from RNAcentral.
UACGUAGGGGGCAAGCGUUGUCCGGAUUUAUUGGGCGUAAAGAGCGUGUAGGCGGCUAGGUAGGUCCGUUGUGAAAACUCGAGGCUCAACCUCGAGACGUCGAUGGAAACCAUCUAGCUAGAGUCCGGAAGAGGAGAGUGGAAUUCCUGGUGUAGCGGUGAAAUGCGCAGAUAUCAGGAAGAACACCCGUGGCGAAGGCGGGUCUCUGGGCCGAUACUGACGCUGAGGAGCGAAAGCGUGGGGAGCGAACAGG